Molecule: long non-coding RNA, 3418 nt
Filed under: Cricetulus griseus (Chinese hamster)
Lineage: Eukaryota; Metazoa; Chordata; Mammalia; Rodentia; Cricetidae
Description: lncRNA (ENSCGRG00015040548.1)
Source: RNAcentral
CAUGCCUUCAGUGACUCAGCACCGACAAACAAUGUGAAACCUUCCCACGGUCACCACUGUGAGGAACCAGGUGCCUCCCCACCUCUUUUGUCCCCACUCAGAGGCAGACUCCCCCGACCCCCGCAUCUCUUGUGUGAUAUCCGUUGCAUGGCUGAAGCAUCCCUUGGCCCCAGUCUACCAAGUUACUCUUUGGCUGCUAAACCUAACAUUGGUGCCACUGACUCCGAUAGGACGCCCUGGCGCUUGUGCUCCUCAUCUGGGGUCUAAGCGGCGUUAGGACCACAUCCCUUAUCUCCUGUCCACCCACAACAGGUCAAGCUCGGGCCCACCAAACGCUUGGCCCACCAUCCAUCACUGGCAAUUGAGAGAAGUGCCAGCUCUUGGCAGCCUCCCUAAGGUCUCCUCCAAAGAUGAUGUCAGGCACAGAAGAAGGACACCUGGAGUUUGCUUUAAAUGUGGCAAAGCCUGCCACUGGGUGAAAAACUGCCCUCACCUAGCCUGCAGUUAGGACCCCGUCCAAACUGUGGACAAGGAGGACACAGGGAAGUUGAUUGCCCCAAUUUUCACAGUAGACCAGUCCCCCAAGUUCCUCCUCUGUGGGACGUCUGACGGAUCUUCUGGACCUGUCGGCUGAAGACUGAGCUGCCCUGGAACCUCUGCUCCCAAGACCAGGGAACAACCUAGGAUGAUUGUGAGGGUAUCUGGUAAAUCUCUGCCAUUUAUAAUAGAUUCAGGACCUACUUGGUCUGUGCUUCUGCUGACUCAGGUGAAAUUUUUCCUUCUCAGACCUGUGGUGGUGUUGGUGACAGGCUAGAGAUGGCUUGGUCAGUUUAAAGCUCCCUUCUCAGUUCCCUUCAUAUGUAAAAAUUGGGCCUCAGGCCUCACUUUCCUAGAGCUACUGCUAGGCCUUAACACAGUUUACUUCCCUACCAGAUCCUAAAAGGAGAUAAAAUCACAAACCAGAUGUCAAUGCAACUCUUUCCUAGCCCUUUAUUUAAAGGAACUCACUCUACAGCUCUCAGCAGUCAGCCUGUGUCUCAGUGAAUGAAUGGCUAGAAAAAAGAGGUGUCAAGUUUAUUUAAGGUCUGAGGAUAUGAAAGCUUAAAUAAAUAAGCUCUGGUGGCCUAAGAAAGUGAUCUAAGGAAUUAGGUACAAGUUAUAAAAGAUAUGAGGAAAUGUUUUAAGAUGUGUAGAAUGCAAGUUAUACAGGUCUAAGCACAUGAGAGCUUAAGUUGAGAGGGUCUAAGAAAAUGGGUUUUUGUUUUGUUUUUAUAAUGUUAAAGUAAUUGAUUUGUUUUUUAUGUACAUUGGUGUUUUGCUGGCAUGUAUGUCUGAGUGUGUUGAAGCUCCCCCACCACAGCACCACAUGACUCCUCUGUGGGGCAGCCCUCAACAGAGACCUCCAGUCAGUGACUACAAGUAUCCAACACGAGGCAGAGAAACAGCCUGGGGGGGCUGCUAAAUCUCUAGAAAAGACUGUUGUGCGUCGCAUCAGACACUGCCAGCUCUGAUGACAACUAUGUGCCCACAAACCCAGAUUCUGACAUCCUCAUGAGCACAAUGUCCCAUCACUUUGCCAGCCGAGGAAGCAAGAUCCAGCCACCCCCAGGCAAUAUCUACCUCAAGCCUGGCUGAAAAGCAAAGCCAGUAUCAAUGAGCUCCCUUUCAAGUCACCUGUCACCAAGUAUUGGUCCUCAGUCAACCACACCUUUAACUCCAGUUUCUCUAAGUACUGCAGUUCCAUCUCCACACAAAGCAUCCCAGAGACAGUGAGGAGAACUAUGUCCCUAUGCAGAACCCAAUGUCUUCAUCCCCUGUAUCCAGUGGCACUAACAGCCCAGCUCCAAAAAAAAGAGUACUGGCAAUGUGAAUUACAUAGCCCUGGACUUUCAGCGGGUCUCCCAGAGCCCUCAUUGUGAGCCAUCCACAUUAUCUUUCGCAUCAGAUGAGAAUAGAUAAAGAAAAGACCCAGGCCCUACAAAAGACCAUCCAAGUUAUGGUAAGGAUGGCCAUCCCUGACACCUCCUCUCCUUUGUGACUUUUGUUCAAAAGAUGUAUGUAUGGUGUGGCCACACAUGUGUGUAUGAAAUGGGAUCGUAAAUGUGUGAUUGUUAACAAAAGAAUGCUAUUGUGUUGUCUUUGAAUCGUUUAAUUGCUGGGGAAGGAGCAACAGUUGUUAAAGUACAGGUUACUUGGGAGGGAAAUUUCUGCUUUUUUUUCCAUGGAGGGUGAAGAGCUGUGGAUUUCUUCCAGACUGCUAUGGUUUCAUGGGGCAGGACCCCCUGAAGCAGUGGCCCAGGUGAUCUGAAUAUUUGUUUUCAUUUAAAUUUGGUCAGUUAGAAAUGGUAGUGGUCACAAUCAAUCACUUUUAAAAGGAAAAAGGCGGAAUAUGAUAUUGAAAUGAUACUUUGUAUUGAAUGGAUCCUCAUUUGUUGAUACUUUGUAUUGGAAUGGAUCUUCAUUUGUUGAUAUUAGUUAGGUUUUCUAGAUAUAUAGAUAUUUCCAAACAUUUCAAAGAAAUUAUGACAUUUAAAUGGUUUAGGGUUUUUCUUGACAGUGAGACACAACUGCUCCUGGCACACCAAUUAUAUCUGAGAGGAAGAUGGGCAUCCAAGAAACUCAUUAUAGAGUUUGACUUUGACAUGGCAAGACCAGCCAUUUGGGCAAGAAGCUACUCUUGCCUGAACUGUUAAACUGUUGCUUUAUAAACUGGACAUGCAGGACCCACAGGAAAAUACCUAAAGAGUUCUUGCUUCAUGGAGGAGAACAAACUGCCAAUGCAGGACAGUUUAGAAUUCCCUGCUUCAUGAAAGAGUCUGCCAGACAUUCUACAGGACACAGAAAAAAGAUACAGACAAACUGCCAAUGCAGGUGGAUAGUUUAGAAUUUCCUGCUUUGCUGAGAAGUCUGCCAGACACAUUGUGGCCUGUAGGUUAAAGAUGGAUGUCCCAAGGUUACCAAGAAACUUUGGGUGACUGUCUAGCAAGCAAGGUGUCUCUGUCAGUUCUAGAGUUUAUAUAUUAUCCUUCUAUGGUCUUUGAUGGAGUGAAGAUAGAUAGUUAUAGUAACACACUAAGAGUGGUUCAAAUCUUAUAGUUCUUACGUGAUAACUGUUUUGUUAUAUAUAGAGAAGGGGGAGAUGUUGGCACCCAGCCCCCAUGGGGUCUCUAAGAGUUGUUUUGCAGCAUAACCACAGGUACCUCCUGUUUGCCUGACUUCACCCCUGUUGUGAACCCUUUGACCUGGGGUUUUUGUAAAUUUGUAUAUAAGGCUGCUCCACAAUAAAGGUGAGAGACAUUCUCUCAGAAAAGGACCAGGAGUCUUGUGGUUCAUCCAAAUCUCCAGGCUUUCGUCCAAUCCUCGGACUUAGUGGCCAAAAGCAGCCACAGGAUCCCCUGGAAAGGAAGUUGCAGUUGUG